Molecule: long non-coding RNA, 1206 nt
Filed under: Megachile rotundata (alfalfa leafcutting bee)
Lineage: Eukaryota; Metazoa; Arthropoda; Insecta; Hymenoptera; Megachilidae
Description: uncharacterized LOC105662236, transcript variant X1
Source: RNAcentral
AUUUAUUAUAUCUUUUUGAGUGUCACUUUUUAAUGUUUCUUUUACACGUGUGUUUUUAAAAAGCUCUAUUUAGGGCGGCUACUUAUAAUGCGGCAAUUUGUUGGCGGGAAAUCGAGUUUAAAUUAGCCAUUUUUGGUUAAUAUAUUGGCGCUGUAUUCUUACUAGUAAUAACUUACUAUGACGUUCACAAUCUAUUAUUUAUUUUAUGGUAUAAUUACAACAGAAUUUCAACGCAGCACAAUUAUGUCUCUGUUUUAUAAAUCGAAUUAUAAAGAUAGUUACAUUAUUUCGUUUCAUAAUCACCGUGAUAAUGUGAGAAAGGGCUGUAUAAAUAAAGUCGAAAAAUGCUCGACUGCCAAAGCCAUCCCGCCAUUUUUUACCCGCCAAAAAUGAACAAAUUUGAAAGUUGCAAAUUACUUUGAAAAUUUAUAAAUUUGAGAAAGUAUUCGGUUUACAGUGAAACGUAGGAAAGCCAUCUGGACACGAUCAGGACAAGAUUCAUCUCCGAGCUGACUUUAUGCGCCUUUCGCUUGGUCGGUAAAUACUAGUACAGCGUUACCCCGCAUACCAAGCUGUUUGAUAUCGACGAAUAAAAUACUGCAAAUCUAUAGAAGGAUAUGUUCGAAGGAUAUUGAAAUUUUCUCGAGCGUACAAAAAUGUAUCAACCGCAUGGAAUUUAAAUCCUGUCGCCCAUUCGCAUUGCUUCUUAUUCGCCCGAAAACAUUUCUCGGUUUUCUUACGAAUGUCAAGAUAUUAAAAUGCACGGUACCGUGAUUUUUCACAGCGGUAUUUCGAUGAUCCCAUUCCAUAUGUUCCAUACAUUCUUCUCUUACCAUACAACUUAUAAUAAUUGUUACAAAUCUCUUGAAUUAAAAUUAGUGUACGUUUAUUUAAUCUUUUUUAGAUUUUUAAUGAAGCUAAUAUAAGUUACUGGAAUCGCAAGAAGCUGUACUGUACAGUUGCAAGAAAUUCGCUCCGUACAUUGUUAUUAAUUAUCAAUUUUUCAAGCUAUCGAUGAUCAAAAUUAAACACACGCGUAUCGAAUCCGAACACACCACAUUGCACAGUCUUUCACGCAGUUUACCGUGGCAUGUAUACGCUCCAAACUUUUAUCCAGCUUCUAUAUACCGGGUGUACCAAAACAAUAUCUCCCAAAUAAAAAUAAUCAUAUCACACUAAGUGUUUUAAGUGUUCAAAAUUUUUGUA